GUGCUCGCUUUGGCAGAACAUAUACUAAAAUGAGAACAUUACAGAGAAGAUUAAUGGCUUCUGCACAAGGAUGACAUGCAAAUUUGUGAUGUGUUCCGUAUUUCU
Camelus dromedarius (Arabian camel) is the source of this 105-nucleotide small nuclear RNA. The record is from Ensembl. Lineage: Eukaryota; Metazoa; Chordata; Mammalia; Artiodactyla; Camelidae.